GUGAGGAAUAUUGCGCAAUGGAGGCAACUCUGACGCAGCCAUGCCGCGUGCAGGAAGAAGGCGCUACGCGUUGUAAACUGCUUUUAACCGGGAAGAAACCCCAGGACGUGUCCUGGGUUGACGGUACCGGAGGAAUAAGCACCGGCUAACUUCGUGCCAGCAGCCGCGGUAAUACGAAGGGUGCAAGCGUUAUCCGGAUUCAUUGGGUUUAAAGGGUGCGUAGGCGGAGCGUUAAGUCAGUGGGGAAAUCCUGCAGCUUAACUGUAGACUUGCCAUUGAUACUGGCGCUCUUGAGUGCGCUUGAAGUGGGCGGAAUGUGCCGUGUAGCGGUGAAAUGCUUAGAUAUGGCACAGAACACCAAUUGCGAGGGCAGCUCACUAAGGCGAUACUGACGCUGAGGCACGAAAGCGUGGGGAUCGAGCAGGAUUAGAUACCCGAGUAGUCC
RNAcentral lists this ribosomal RNA (445 nucleotides) under uncultured bacterium. RNAcentral's name for it is "partial 16S ribosomal RNA". It matches the Rfam family "Bacterial small subunit ribosomal RNA", at positions 354 to 796 of the family's 1533-position model. The record is from RNAcentral.